AGCUCCAAUAGCGUAUAUUAAAGUUGUUGUGGUUAAAAAGCUCGUAGUUGGAUCUCGGCGGUCUGAGGGCGGUUCGCUUGAUUGAGUGCUACUGCUCUAUAGGCCGUGGUUUUGCCAGAGGUCUCGGGGUGCUCUUAACCGAGUGUCCUGCGAUGCUGGCAGGUUUACUUUGAAAAAAUUAGAGUGCUCAAAGCAGGCUUUUACGCCUGAAUAUUCGUGCAUGGAAUAAUAGAAUAGGAAGUCGUUUCUAUUUUGUUGGUUUUCGGAAAUCGACUUAAUGAUUAAUAGGGACAGUCGGGGGCAUUUGUAUUCAAAGUAAACCUGCUGGCAUCCAGAGACAC
Molecule: ribosomal RNA, 341 nt
Filed under: marine copepod environmental sample
Lineage: Eukaryota; Metazoa; Arthropoda; Copepoda
Description: SSU rRNA
Rfam family: Eukaryotic small subunit ribosomal RNA
Source: RNAcentral